RNAcentral lists this ribosomal RNA (232 nucleotides) under uncultured bacterium. RNAcentral describes it as "partial 16S ribosomal RNA". It matches the Rfam family "Bacterial small subunit ribosomal RNA", at positions 118 to 350 of the family's 1533-position model. The record is from RNAcentral.
UGGGCAACCUGCCCCUCUCUCUGGGAUAACCCCGGGAAACCGGAGCUAAUACCGGAUACUCCGGCUGGAUCGCAUGGUCCGGCCGGGAAAGGUCCGCCGGAGAGGGAUGGGCCCGCGGCCUAUCAGCUUGUUGGUGAGGUAACGGCUCACCAAGGCAACGAUGCGUAGCCGACCUGAGAGGGUGAUCGGCCACAUUGGAACUGAGACACGGUCCAGACUCCUACGGGAGGCA